UACAGAGGGUGCAAGCGUUAAUCGGAAUUACUGGGCGUAAAGCGUGCGUAGACGGUUAUUUAAGUCAGGUGUGAAAGCCCCGGGCUCAACCUGGGAAUUGCAUUUGAGACUGAAUAGCUAGGGUGCGGAAGAGGGAAGCGGAAUUUCCGGUGUAGCGGUGAAAUGCGUAGAUAUCGGAAGGAACACCAGUGGCGAAAGCGGCUUCCUGGUCCAGCACCGACGUUCAGGCACGAAAGCGUGAGGAGCAAACAGG
This 253-nucleotide ribosomal RNA is filed under the name uncultured bacterium. Its description in RNAcentral is "partial 16S ribosomal RNA". It matches the Rfam family "Bacterial small subunit ribosomal RNA", at positions 524 to 776 of the family's 1533-position model. The record is from RNAcentral.